UUUAUUUUGGCGUCGGCAUUACAAAAAGGUCAAUUAGCGUCGCAGUGUCACGCGAUGUGGGUGGGCAGCACUAGACCCUUCUGCUGAGGGAUUGCUAAGCUCGUUCCCCCUCCAGGCAAGUUGCUAUUGAUAAGGUUUUGGAAUGUGUGAGGAAGGAUGGAAAGCCCUUUUAUGAGGUCGAGAAGGCACCACUUUCUGCUGGUGGGGACCCAGAAACUUGACAGGAGAGGUGAUACCUUUUAAAGGGUCGUCAGUAUACGUGAAGAAGCAGGGCAAGCUCACAGCAUGCAAAUAUUCAAACCAGGGUAAGACACAGUCCAUCAUCCAAAAAUCACAUCCAAAGGUGAUUAAACUGUUUUCAGUCAUAAAAUUUUGCUUACAACAUUUGCUUUUCAUUUAAUAAUUGUGUGUCACUCUGUUCCCUCAGAAGUAAAGUGCUGUAUGUAAUGCCCGACUAGACACACAAGGGCAGGAGUUCCUGAGAGAGGAGGGCAGCUUCCGAGGGCAGGAGAUACAUGGUGACUUUCACUCUUGGCACCACUGCUGGCCUUGUCUUAGGAAUGUAACUCUUUCCCUUGCUCACCCACAGGGUUUAGAGGGAUCACAGCCACCACUUCACAUUACCACUCCUGGGUGGGGGUAGCUGAUUCAGGACAGAGCAUCCCCCGAGGCUGCCUCUUUGCUUCUGCACUUCUUGCAUGGCUUUAUUUCUGCAUGGAGCAUUUUGGGUCACAGCUGGAGGAGGGUACACCAGAUUUAAGGAGAGAGUCUAAGGAGCUGCCCUGACUGGCUGCUUGCCUUAAGCUCCAUCAAAUUUGGGUUAAAUUUUAGGCUGUCCUGGGACUUGAGUAGAAAUUGUUGGUGGCUUGAAAGAAAACCAGGCAGUUUGCUUAUUAAACCUUUGGUUCUUUCUUGGGGCACAGGUAACACAAGAAGUGCAAGUAGUACCUGGUGGCAAAAUCCUGGAAAAGCAACUUUGCCAAAAUGAUGCCAAGUUCAAUACUGUUCUGCCUGUGUUUGUUUCUUUGUCAUUAGCCUAAGAGGAGCUCAGGGAAGAUGAGUCAUCAGAGCUGAACAACCAAAUAGGAUCCGGAUUGCUUUAGUUCAUUCAUAUUUUUGACCUCUAGAAGAGGGGACCUCAGGAUCUGGUUGGCUUUUUAAGCCAACAGCAUCCUCUGGAUUUAAUUUUCUGGUUUGCAUACACAGAAAAGUGCUUGUAGUGUAUUUAUUGUGCUUCAUAAAGUCUUACCACUAUUAUAUCUUAUUUCACCUGUCAUGUAGCCCGUACUUUGCUGUGCAGCAUGCAGCUCAUUCACUUAUCAUACCCUCCCUGGUUUGCAGGUAAUGCCCGGGUGGUUCCCUGUGGUGUGGCUGGCCAGGGAUCACUGUGGGCAGACCCAGGAUGGAUCCACUGUGUGAGCACAAAGGGGCUGCUUAUUGAGCAGGUGGGAAGGGCACAGCCAGGCCUCCUGCUUUAUCUCUGACUGCCACUCCCCAAACUCCCCACUGCAGCAGGGCUGGUCACAGGAAGAUAUUUUUAUAUCAUAAAGUGUGGCACCUAUGGUGCAGGCAGUUACAGGAGGAGUCCAGUGUCCCUGGAAGCAGAUGCAAGCUCUUUCAGAGCCCACCCAGUCAGCAUAAACUUCAGUUUCAAGGGACACUAAACUAUAGUGGGAAAAUGUGAUGAAUGCAUUCCAACAAAUCAAGACCUCUUGAGAUUUUUGUUAUAAUUUAUCAGGUAAAAUGAAAGUUAAACCCUUGGUUUAAACAUGAGCAGUGAAGCUGGCUUCAGGGAAAGCCAAGUCUGAACCCAGCCAAUCGGUUUUGCAAAUUGUCCAUCCACAAAGUACCUCCACUCCCAGUGGGCAGCUGGCAUAUUUUCACAUGCAGCAUUUAGAAUGAAAAAAUGUUGUACCUGCUGCUGAGCAGGGUUCUUGUCUCUAACUUGCUGCAGGCUUUUCUGAUAUGCCAUAAUGAAAUCACAGUCUGGAGUCUGGAGUGAUGCUGAGUAGUUUUGCAGGAUCUGGCUGUGAGGCAGCCAGCUCACACAUAGUGAACACCUCAGUGUAUCUAAAUCCAUGGAUAACUCCUUUCUGCUUUCUUUUGUGGAGGGCAGGAGAAAGGAUACUGCCUACCCUGCUAUUACUGGAAGCCACAAAUUGAAUAUCUGAGUAUAAAAAGACUUGGCAAGUAAACCUGAUCGUACAUCAUUCUCAAUUAUUCCUUGUUAGUCCUUCUGUUGAAAAAUGGGUAAAAGGAUAAGAGUUAGCACGAACGAAGAAGAGGGAGGGAAAGAACUACUGAAAUAUGAACUUGUUGUAGUUUAUAACUUUGAUUAAAAAUAUUGUCUUAUGAUAAUCUUAGAAAAGGGUUGAUUUCCACAAAAGAGCAUUUGUGCUAUAAGCCAGUCUGGAGAGGGAGAAGUCUCUCAAAACCAAGGAAUUUUUUUUGCUCCUUUAUAACAGGAUUUUUGUGCCUUCCCUUUAUUCGACUAGAAUCAAAAGUGAAAAAUAAAGGAUCAACUUGUAAGGGAUUCUGGUAGUACUAUAAGGAAUGAGCAAAGCAACCUUGCUGUUUACUCAGUGACUGCUUCAGCACACUGUGAUGUUUCAAUCACUUGCUUCUCCUGACAAACAUCUGGCCAGACAUUAAAAGCAUCUGGAAUAGCCCAGGACUACUGCAAAAUUGCAAUCGUGUUUAUGCUUCCUCUUGGUGACCCCCAAGGGAAGUCGCUGUGGGUGUUGUCCACUGAGCUGAAUUUGGGGCAGAAAGAGGAGGUUUGGUGUGUGCCUGUCGCUCUAGAGCCUCAAGGAACAAGGGUUGGUUUGCAAAUCCAAGUGAAUUAAAGAGAAAUCAGAGUCUUGAACUUGAAAGCCUAAAUCCCAAACAUAUUGCACUUCAGGAGUGUGCAUGCUGUAGUUAUGAGCAGUCCAUAAAAGCAGCCAGUGGGGCUGGGUUAGAAAGCAAAGGGAGGUCACCCCCUCUUUUCCUGCUCUUCCCAUUUCAGCUUAAUAUCCAUUUCAGCUCCCUGCUCCUCCCGCCUUGGCUCUUGUGUGCUGUGCCUGGGUCUGGGGAAGUGGCGUCAUGCUCUGCCUCUGCACGUCAGUGCCAGCUGAUUUGUGGAGCUGUGCUGGGUGUUUGCAGAGCAAGAGAGGCCUCUGAAGGAUAGUCCUGCAGGAUGGAAAGCUUUCAGUCAGCACCUUAAGGCAGUGUGCUACUAAAGAUGGUGGAACAAAAUACUGCUGUGAAGUGAUGUUCAGAUGGAGUUUGAAGAAACUGUUUGGUUUUGAAGGCAGCACGAGGCAAAUUUUUCUGCCUUUGCAGAGCUGUUGAAAGACAAGAAGUGUUAUAUUUGUCUAAGAAGAUAAGAAAACUAAAUUUACUGGGAAUUUCAGAAUUGUAUCCACUUGUGAAGCGUCAAGAAACGGUAUACAAGAGGACUUAAGCUUAAAAUGAAGACAAUGUUAAGAUUUAUCAACUGCCAGCAUGUACCUAGUGUGAUGGAAGUUGGUUUUCAUUGCUCCUUUUCUCCCUUGUCCUGCCUUUUGUCUAGUGACAUUCAAGGGCCGAUACUGCCUUGAAAUGACCUCACUACCUACCAGUUACCAAGAGAGAAGCCAAUGUUCCAAGAGCUGCAGAAUCUUGGCAUGGAGAGAAUUACUUAUUGCCAGAAGGAAUGCAUUGACUCAGCCUAUUUCCAUCGCAGCACAUUUAAAGGGGAGAAGGAGGAAAGUAGUCAAUGAAAUAAAGUUUUGACUACACAGAGACUUCAUAAAAUGAUAAUGUAUGAAUAAACAUCUCUGCUUAUCUCAACGUAUGAAGUUUUAUAGCAGCAUACAACUGAUUGCACUAGCAAGGCUUAUUUCCAUAGUGAGAAGGAAGAAAGAUGGGGGAACAGCUUUGCAAAAUAUCCUGACCCUGAGUAAGGACUAAUCCCAUCACCAAUUACUGAAUAUCGCUAUAAAGAAGGUGGGGGGGAACAAUCUGAAUCCUAAUAUUAGUUAAUCCUUUUGUUUGAUAGCAUAUAAUAAUUACUAUCACCUUUCCUAUGUUUCAGUCAGUGCAAAAUGAACUAUAAAAAAUUCAUCACGUGUUUUAAUAUCAUGCUGAAAUUAUGACUAGGCAGUCUAUUCAAUUUAGUCCUAAUAACUAACUAUAACUGUCAUGUUCAACAAACAGCAAAUAGGAAUUAGAUUGUUCAUAAACACAGUAAAAUUCUGCCUGUGCCUACUACUAAUAAAAACCUUAUUCCUUCUACCAACUAGAAUCUAAUGCAAAAUAGCCUGUGGCAAUAUAUAAUUCUUACUCAACUGGCACAUGGUCUUCCUAGAAACUUUUUUUAAAGCAUACACAUGAACAGCCAAUUAAGUACAGUAAGGUCUCUAAAUAUGAGUACAAUUCCUAGAAAUUUACUGAGGCAGACCACUGGCCAGACAGCUUCAGUCCAUAACUAUUGCACUUCAUUGUUUUCCACUGAAUCACUGUUUUUGUUAUGCCACACAAAAUGAAGAAAAGGUUCUUCUUUCCUAUUUUGAAGUUUUUUGUCCUAAUGCACUCAGAUUUCAAUAUGCUACUGCACAUGGCACUUUCUUCCCCCAUCAUUAUUCACACUUCUUGCAAGUCAGAGAGAUGGGAUGAUAUGGAAAGGAUUUAAAAUAUGCAUAUAUCAAAUUCCUUCCUUCUCAAUGGAGACUCCAGGAAAUAGACACUCAAUAGCAAAACAUUUCUGUGCACUGAAACACUGAACAGAGUUUAGGCAGCACAAUUUGAGCAAUGCUGAGCAAACAUGCAGUUUGAGAUAAGCGCACAGUGCAUGUUUAUCCACACUACUUGCUGCUCUUGAAGUGCUCUGUGUGCUGUGACAUUCCCUGUCACAACUGCUGUAUGCUGAACACAUGUUGUUACAUUUACUUCUGAUCAAUGGAACUGGACUACUUGGUUUCUUCAAAACUUACUCUUCCUACUUUUAAUCUGAACAUGCCAAGCAGUUGGAUCUUGGCACGCAGACCAAUCACUUUACUGAUAGUUUGAAUCUACAGCUCUUCAAGAAAAUUUUGUAUUUAGCUCUUCUUAAAAGCAACCAUAUGCUGAUAGUGCCACUAAGUACAAAAGCAUGACACAGAAUUCAAAAGCAGGUAGCUCCUACAUGGAAGUCACCCUCCAAUUUCUAGAGCUUUGUACAAUCUAUGUGGUACAGGACCCAAACACGGAGAUUUCCCAUCACUAACACUUUAGACAAUACCUUAUCCUUGGGGAACACACAUCUUACCAUAUCUUCCAGUGUUUUAAGGUGAAAUAUUAACUAGCUUUCAUAUUUUAAAAAAGUACUUUAUGCAGAAUGGCAUGGAGAAUCAGUUGUAAAUGAAGAUUCAAAUUGUUAAAACUGCUAUUUAAUUCAGUCUGUCUUCAAAACCAAUUUGGAUUGUUCACCACACUGCAGCUAAAAGUUAAAAUGCCAAUGUCUUCAUGUUUACAGUUGUACCUCUAAACACAUCAUAUCUGUCUUCCCUCUCUUCUGUAAGCAAGCUAAUACAAUUUGGCUAUAAAACUGUAAGAGGAAUUGUCAUUUCAGAAACUUACUGGAUUCCUAGCUCAUUUUUGAAUGCCAGCAACCAUAGCAAGUUCAGUAUUGCAGCCACAGCAAAUGUGCAAGUAAAUUAUGGACCGCAAAUCUUUGACAAGGAGCAAAGUAGUGACCUCGGGUGGCAAGCCAGCAUCCUUGCAAAGGUAAGCUCAUGCAAAACUAGCAGGUGUAUGAGGAAGCUUCAAAUCCCAAGACCCAGAAAUCAUUGCCAAGGGAAAACAAAAAUUUGCUGCAAUUUAACAGUGCUUUGUGCAAAGUGACAAAAUAUAAAACCAAUAAAACAAAAAGUAUACAAUAAAAAGGACACAAUUCUGGAAAUCUUUAUACAAUGUACAGUUUUGCAGAAAAUUUUUUAAUCCAGACUAAGCAAAGAUACUUACUCAUUGACUUCACACACAAACCGUUUUACGAUUGUCAAUAGCAAGACUCUGACAAACAUCUGUAAGAGCAGGGAAACUGUAAAAGCUAGAAAUCUGGCCUUUAUUAAUGAUAUUUAACUUACAUUUAAAUGUAAGUUGGUCUAGAGUGGUUCACAUUUAGGGAAGUUGUCUAUGAAAGAAAAGCAAAUUUACCUAGUAAUUCUUAAUGCAUCCACAAGUUGAAAAAGAAAUAUAAACACAAUCAGACCACUUUGGUUCCUGCAAUGAAGUAACUGACUAAAUAUUGAAUACUGAGACUUCUGUUGUCUGAUUUUUCCAGAAAGUUUAACCAUUAAUAUACUUUUAAUUCUGGAAAUAGCUUUCCAGCUAAGUUGCUCUCUAUGCUCUUCCCUUCCCAGUUCACUAAAUUCUAAAGCACCAAAUAAAAUCUGUAGAUUUUUACUACAAAUAUUUUUGUCUUUUUUCAGCUCAUUUUGAUAAUUCUUCCUGUCACUGAAAUAGCUGCAGACCAGCUGCCCAACUGCUCCGAGUGCUUUAUACUUUGGUAAGGCUGCCUAACAGGUAACAGUUGUGCAUUUGAGCUACACAAAUGUCCUUUCAGCUGCAAGUCCCACCUUCCGAGUGUCUGCAAAAGGUGGAAGAAGAGGGCCAAGGUGCUGGAGUAACUUAUACGAACAAUGGUAAAGUCACACUAAUUCUGUCUACUACAGCAUCACACCUGGGACUGACUGUCCACACAACCCUUACAUCUGCUCUGAGUCUGUACAAAGACAGAAACCUUGGAUUCUCUAUUCCCUAUUCUGUAUUUAACUGUACUUGGUAGCUUUAACACAUUGUUUUGAAAAUUUUAACACAACCAACUAGGUAUGCCACUAUGCCUUCACUGUUCUAUAGGUAAAAUGCCCCUAGUUAAAUUCACAAACAUUAUUUUUACAUUUCCUGUCAAUUAUUUAGAUUACUGAUGAACCUUUAUCACAGAAUUUUUACAGUUCAAAGCUCUACACAUAAAAAUAUUCAUAAUGUGUUCUUCUCUUGAAAAUGUCACACAAGGUUAUUAAAUUCAGAACCUUGUUUUAAAAUAAAUGGUCAGGAAACAUUUAAACAACAGGAACUGGCAAUAUUGACAUAUAGAGAAACACUGAAUAUUUAAUUUUCAUUUGCUUUGCCUUCUUUAAGGUCACCAUUUUAAGGAGAUUAGUGAGAAUAGCAGCAUUUUCAUAUCAGCAGUUAAUGUCUGGAGAAACUAGGAAAGCAGGAGUCCAGCAAUGGGCUAAUAUGUUUUAUGAGACAGAGGUCCAUCCAAACCUUUUCUAGGAAGUAACUGACACUUAAAGUAAAUAAAAUUGCCAACUGGAUAUGUAAUCCAUAUGCCAAAAAACAAAGAAGAAGGAAAGAAACUGCAGAACUGCAGACAUGGGUUAACUUAAAGGGUUAAACUGAAAUGAACACUUUCAGGUCAUGUUUCACUAGUUAGGAAAAAAAAAAACCAAAAAACCUAAACAAUAAACACCAUCUAGGUGUUUUUUCAGAGCCUAGAAAUAAAACCAUUUUGGACAUGCCCAAAUACUGUAUUUAUAAUUCUUCAUAUUACUUCUACAUACACUUUUAGGAAACUAUGAAUGACACCUUAAUAAGAAACCAGACUGAGUAUUUUAUGUACCAUAAAAACAGAUUCACAAAAGUCUGAUUAAAAAUCAAGACUAGAAUCUCCAGUGUGGCACGCAAUGUUUUGCUUUGCUCUAAAUACCAUCACUUAACUCUGAAAUUUACACUGAAGUAGUACCAAAGGUACUUACUGGCUGAGGCCUGAGGUUGAAUUCGAGGUAUUCCUCCAUUUGGCACUUGGAAGUUUGAGUCACUUCUGCUGUUUUUCACAGACUCAGCUUGGAUGUUAGAUGUCCUGGACAGGUUUGGAAGACUACGCCUUAGUUUUUCUGUAUGAAAUAAUACAAAGAUACAGCGUAGUCUGUAGUCUGAUGCUGGACAAAGGUCAGGCUGUGAACCCAUAGCUGACUCCCAAAUGUAAGUAACACAAAAUGUUAGCCAUAUAAAACUACAUUGCAAUUUAAAUCCAUUUGUAUUUUGUUGCAUUACUUCUUCUCAAAUCUAUCACAUACAAAAUAUUUAUGUAUCUAAAGAAUAAGAAUGUCUAUUUUUUACCUAUGAUGAAAAAAGUCAAGCAUAUUGUGUUUUGAAAUUGAAACAUAUCUGGAUUGUGAUUCUCUGGGUUUUAUUGUACUAUUAUCAAAGCGGAACAGACAAACCUAAUUUGCAGUUUUGCACAGUUUUCAAAUUAUUUACCUAGAAGGUUAUUUGUAACAAAAUGCUUGCCUGAAGAGUAAAAACAACAUAAACGUUUGAGUAAAUUUUUGAGACUGCCUUGUCCCGCAUCAGUCCAUUAUACUACAAAUAACAGACUCCCACUUGGUAAGGACUUCUUCAUACACAGCAUUCAAAAUUAUUGAAGUGUCCAGUUAUGCUUCAUCUUUCACAUAUGACUUGACUUAUCUACUCAGCUAAUACUUCAGGGGCCUUCUAAUAUUUGUACCACUGUUCACAGACUAUGAAAAGAUGCCAUUAAGUACUUCUCAAGUCUAAUGACAUUCUGUGUAUCUCCAACCCAUGCAGAGCUGGGUUGAUGACAUACUUUGGACAGAAGACUGAAGAUGCCUUGACAGGAUGAAUGGCCAACCUGAUUCUGCAGAGGGAUGCAGGGAAGAAGUAGGUUAACCAUACACAAGCACUAAAGGUGAAAACAAAACUAAGUCUUUACUGGCUGAAUAUUCCAAUAAGUGUACUCUCUUCACUUUGUAGUUUGCAUUCUUGGUACUGCGCUUGGUACAUUGUUGAACCCUGUCAACCAAAUUUCCCUCCAACCAUUCUAGACAAAUAAUAUUAAAAAAAAAAAAAAAACAACAAAAAAACCAAAACAAAAACCAAAAGAGAAAACCUGAACAACUUUUUUGGCUGCUGCUGUAUCGUCUCUGGAAUAUCCAAGCAACGCUCAACUGCACAAAAACCACUGCAAGAUAACUCCUUGGAAGUGUUUCAGAAACGCAUGAUCACACACUCUAUUUUGAUCCCUCUGGUAUGUGGGAUACUAGCUUUUGGUACCAUUCCUUUCAUAGGAUAUUUUUACUGCAGCUCAUCUAGCACGCAUUAAGACUUUCAUUUUUAGAAAUGAAAGGCAAAGGAAUUCUCAAUUAAGUUACAACAGAAUUGAUUAGCUUUUGUGUUGCACAUUUUUUUAGAUACUUAAAAUUUCCCCAAACCACUAUUACUAGUAAGGGCAGUUCUUAAUAUCUAAAUGUGUAUUCUUUCUAAAUUUAAAAUCUUACUUGCGGGAUAAAAAAUACUUUUGUUGAAAUGGGAAUGUGCUUGCAAAAUUUCAUCCCAGUAAAAGGAGUUUCCGCUAGAUUGCUACUAGGAAAAAGUACAUUCAAGAAGAAAAGUUGUAUCAGAAUUAUGUUAUUUUGUUCUAUGCCAAUAUAGUAUAACUGCAUUGAAUUUACUCCAAGCUUUAUUUAUUACGCAGCAGUUUUCACAGCUUUGAGAUCUGUAAAAUAUCCAACAAAUGCAUGAGGUAAGUACUAACUAUUAAGUACUAUUUUUAAGACUGUGUUCAUGAUUGAAAAUUUCAGAGUUCUGUGCAACCAGAAAGCAUUCAGCUGCUUCACAGGCUAUAGGCAUGCAUAAAUGGCUACAUUACUCUUAUCUGACCACAGUUACUUUCCUCUGCAUUUUGUCCGGUCAUCUGCAAGGCCUAACUCUACUAGUAAAUGAGUUUUCCUGCUUUAUUUGAGUGCAUUUGCCUGCCAAAUAUAGACCUUGGUCACUAUGAAAUUCAAUUAUACUCAUUAACUAGAUAACAUCUAAAAUAAAUAUAAGCCUAUCAACUCAUCUGACUGUAAGGGUGCCCCAGCAGAACUUAAGCUUUGCUUGCUCUGUGUCUUCUUCAGCAAUUCAGAGAUCAAACCACAAUGUUACACAGGCACAUAGUUUUAGGACUGCACACUCCUUUAUACAGAAACUACACAGCUGCUCCUGUAAUGAACUUCAAACAGUUUUUUACCUUCACUUUUGACAUUACUAGUUUGCAAGUCUGUAGGAUGGCCUUGAAGGGAAAGACGAGGUUGCUGUAAACGGCUAAUCAUAGGCUGUGGUGACACUCUACUGUACUCUAUGCUUCGAGCAGGUGAUCGGGAGCGAGGCGAAUUUCUUGGAGAUUGUUUUGGUGAAGGCCAGGGAGAACUGCGAGGUGAUGGUGAGAACCUGCUGACAGCAGGGUGCACCGUGUGAUG
Molecule: long non-coding RNA, 10265 nt
Organism: Passer domesticus (house sparrow)
Lineage: Eukaryota; Metazoa; Chordata; Aves; Passeriformes; Passeridae
Exons: 3
Source: RefSeq, a predicted model, not a curated record